RNAcentral lists this ribosomal RNA (253 nucleotides) under uncultured bacterium. RNAcentral describes it as "partial 16S ribosomal RNA". It matches the Rfam family "Bacterial small subunit ribosomal RNA", at positions 524 to 776 of the family's 1533-position model. The record is from RNAcentral.
UACGGAGGAUGCAAGCGUUAUCCGGAAUUAUUGGGCGUAAAGCGUCCGCAGGUGGCACUUCAAGUCUGUCGUCAAAGACCGGGGCUUAACCCUGGAAAGGCGAUGGAAACUGAAAGGCUAGAGAGAGGUAGGGGUAGAGGGAAUUCCCAGUGUAGCGGUGAAAUGCGUAGAGAUUGGGAAGAACAUCGGUGGCGAAAGCGCUCUACUGGACCUCACCUGACACUCAGGGACGAAAGCUAGGGGAGCGAAUGGG